AAGUAAAGGCAGAAGUAAGAGACAGCAUGGCCCACUGAGAGAGCAUGAAGCACAGUAUAGUUCAGUUCACUGAGCAGAGGGCUUGUGGUAGCCAGCCUGCAGGAUGACUGGUGUUCAUACCCUUGGGUAGUCCCCUCCCACAGUGAACAAGGGUUGGUCUGUGUGACCAACAGCACAUGGCAGAAGUGAUAGUACGUCACUUCUAAGAUUGGGUGAUAAAAGACUUGCGUGCUGUCUUACCACUUGGUACACACUCUCUCGAGUCAUUUGUUCUGUGAAGACACACAGGUAGUAGAGAGAACUGGGACAGAAGCCUCCAGCCAACAAUGUGAGCAAGACUGGAAGCAGGGCUGCAGCUGACUGCAAUCCUGAACAGCUUUUAUGCAGACACAGGUCAGAACCACCCAACAGAUGUUGCCCCUGGAUUCCUGAUCCUCAUAAACUGUCAGCAGGAAUUGUACUUGAGAAGCUGUACUUAAGGAACAUCCAAGAAGUCCCAACUGUACCUGAAUCUAACUUAGAUGAGAUUCUAGACUUUGAGCUGUGAUAGGAUAAGACUUUUGAAUAUAACAGCUAAAAAAAAAAAAAAAAAUCACACUUUAUACAGGUAUAUGCUAUUGACUCAUAUACCACAAAUGGUGAUGUCAAUGAAGUGACUUUCGAACAAUAAGAACUCCUGCAAAAGUUCUGAACAAAAAAAGUACAACAUCCUCUUUAUACACUAGCUGCUUUUCUGGAAAGUCUACUGUAUAUUAAAACUGUACACUUCACAUGUAAAAUUAAAUUAGGUCCUAGACUCAGAUAAUUUA
Molecule: long non-coding RNA, 809 nt
Filed under: Homo sapiens (human)
Lineage: Eukaryota; Metazoa; Chordata; Mammalia; Primates; Hominidae
Description: HSALNT0160995
Source: RNAcentral